RNAcentral lists this long non-coding RNA (254 nucleotides) under Olea europaea (common olive). RNAcentral describes it as "long non-coding RNA (OEUR_LNC011080)". Lineage: Eukaryota; Viridiplantae; Streptophyta; Magnoliopsida; Lamiales; Oleaceae. The record is from RNAcentral.
UCUUCUUAUGGCAUCCAAAUUGUUCAACUUGGCCAUUAUCUUUAUAACAACAUAAUGAAUUCUUUCUUAUUUUAUAAGCUUUCUUAUUUUCUAGUGCUUCUCUGCACCACAUUCCUAUCAUUCUUCUUGUAAAUUCAAUUCUACUUCCAAGACUAUCUAUUUCAACUCCUUCCUCUUUUCCUAGAGGUAGUAAUUUCUCAUAUUCUUUUAGUAACUUGAUUCCCCAUGGGAAUGGUAACUUGGUAAAAUAAGAC